GACGAACGCUGGCGGCGUGCUUAACACAUGCAAGUCGAACGGAAAGGCCCUGCUUGCAGGGUACUCGAGUGGCGAGCGGGUGAGUAACACGUGGGUGAUCUGCCCUGCACUUCGGGAUAAGCCUGGGAAACUGGGUCUAAUACCGGAUAGGAGCCAUUUUUAGUGUGAUGGUUGGAAAGUUUUUUCGGUGUAGGAUGAGCUCGCGGCCUAUCAGCUUGUUGGUGGGGUAAUGGCCUACCAAGGCGGCGACGGGUAGCCGGCCUGAGAGGGUGGACGGCCACAUUGGGACUGAGAGACGGCCCAGACUCCUACGGGAGGCAGCAGGGGGGAAGAUUGCACAAUGGGCGCAAGCCUGAUGCAGCGACGCCGCGUGGGGGAUGACGGCCUUCGGGUUGUAAACUCCUUUCGCUAGGGACGAAGCUUUUUGUGACGGUACCUAGAUAAGAAGCACCGGCUAACUACGUG
RNAcentral lists this ribosomal RNA (465 nucleotides) under uncultured bacterium. RNAcentral describes it as "partial 16S ribosomal RNA". It matches the Rfam family "Bacterial small subunit ribosomal RNA", at positions 28 to 507 of the family's 1533-position model. The record is from RNAcentral.